Molecule: ribosomal RNA, 433 nt
Filed under: uncultured bacterium
Lineage: Bacteria
Description: partial 16S ribosomal RNA
Rfam family: Bacterial small subunit ribosomal RNA
Source: RNAcentral
AACGAACGCUGGCGGCAUGCCUAACACAUGCAAGUCGAACGAGACCUUCGGGUCUAGUGGCGCACGGGUGCGUAACGCGUGGGAACCUGCCCUUAGGUUCGGAAUAACUCCCCGAAAGGGGAGCUAAUACAGGAUAAUGUCUUCGGACCAAAGACUUAUCGCCAUUGGAUGGGCUCGCGUUGGUUUAGCUAGUUGGUAGGGGAAAAGCCUACCAAGGCGACGAUCCAUAGCUGGGCUGAUAGGAUGAUCAGCCGGACUGGGGCUGAGACACGGCCCAGACUGCUACGGGAGGGAGCAGUGGGGAAUAUAAUGGGAUGGGCGAAGGCGUGAUCCAGCAAUGCCGCGUGAGUGAUGAAGGCCUUAGGAUUGUAAAGCUCUUUUGCCCGGGAUGAUAAUGACAGUACCGGGAGAAUAAGCUCCGGCUAACUCCGUG